Molecule: ribosomal RNA, 705 nt
Filed under: Flavobacteriaceae bacterium ACEMC 9-3
Lineage: Bacteria; Pseudomonadati; Bacteroidota; Flavobacteriia; Flavobacteriales; Flavobacteriaceae
Description: bacterial SSU rRNA
Rfam family: Bacterial small subunit ribosomal RNA
Source: RNAcentral
UACUGUUUAUCCGCAUGGAUUUAUAGUUAAAGAUUUAUUGGUAAUAGAUGAUCAUGCGUUCUAUUAGUUAGUUGGUAAGGUAACGGCUUACCAAGACAGCGAUAGAUAGGGGCCCUGAGAGGGGGAUCCCCCACACUGGUACUGAGACACGGACCAGACUCCUACGGGAGGCAGCAGUGAGGAAUAUUGGACAAUGGUGGAGACACUGAUCCAGCCAUGCCGCGUGUAGGAAGACUGCCCUAUGGGUUGUAAACUACUUUUAUAGAGGAAGAAACGCAGAUACGUGUAUUUGUUUGACGGUACUCUACGAAUAAGGAUCGGCUAACUCCGUGCCAGCAGCCGCGGUAAUACGGAGGAUCCAAGCGUUAUCCGGAAUCAUUGGGUUUAAAGGGUCCGCAGGCGGUUGUUUAAGUCAGAGGUGAAAGUUUGCAGCUCAACUGUAAAAUUGCCUUUGAUACUGAAUAACUUGAGUUAUAAUGAAGUGGUUAGAAUAUGUAGUGUAGCGGUGAAAUGCAUAGAUAUUACAUAGAAUACCGAUUGCGAAGGCAGAUCACUAAUUAUAUACUGACGCUGAGGGACGAAAGCGUGGGGAGCGAACAGGAUUAGAUACCCUGGUAGUCCACGCCGUAAACGAUGGUCACUAGCUGUUUGGAUUUCGGUCUGAGUGGCUAAGCGAAAGUGAUAAGUGACCCACCUGGGGAGUAC